This is a non-coding RNA of Camellia sinensis, 280 nucleotides long. The record is from RefSeq and is a predicted model, not a curated record. Lineage: Eukaryota; Viridiplantae; Streptophyta; Magnoliopsida; Ericales; Theaceae.
AAUAACUAAAUUCAAUUAACGGGGAAAAUAAAUGGUAUAUUGGCUUGAGGUGAUGCUUAUCAGUGUUGGCUUAAAAUCUCUGUGAAUCAAGAAACCCCUUUCUAGAAUAUGCAGCGCAAUAUGCUGUAGCAGCAGCCCUUGCGACAUUGGAAAAGGAUAAAAAGGAUUUGUUACACAAACUACUUUUACAAGGUCUUGACAUUACAAUUUUAGGUUGCAAUGACUUCUAUUCAUAUCGGAAUCAGGUGGGGUUUAUCAAGUGAGACCGGAAAAGGGAAAG